This 544-nucleotide ribosomal RNA is filed under the name uncultured bacterium. RNAcentral's name for it is "partial 16S ribosomal RNA". It matches the Rfam family "Bacterial small subunit ribosomal RNA", at positions 37 to 537 of the family's 1533-position model. The record is from RNAcentral.
UUNCNANCNCUCNCGNCGNCNCUGGCACCUCCNUUUANACCGGCUAGACUAGNCCCUUUNCUGGAUCUAUAGUUAGUGGCGAAAGGGCGAGGAAUAAAUAGGUAACGUACCCCGAACAUCAGAAUAGCGUCUCGAAAGAGGCAGUAAUACUGUAUAAUAUCUUUUGACGCAAGUUAAACGAUCAAAGAUUUAUCGGUUUGGGAGCGGCCUAUUUCCCAUCAGCUUGUUGGUAAGGUAAUGGCUUACCAAGGCAUCGACGGGUAUCGGGACUGAGAGGUUGACCCGACGCAUCGGAACUGAGACACUGUCCGGACCUCCACGGAGGGCUGCAGUAACGAAUAUUGCACAAUGGGCGAAAGCCUGAUGCAGCAACGCCGCGUGUAGGAUGAACUCCUUGGAGUGUAAACUACUGUCAGGGGUUANAAAGUGCNCUUANGCGCAUUGAUCANCCCCANANGAANUCACGGUAACUUCUGCCACCACCNCGGUAAUCCAANGUGCAAGCGUUNUCCGAAUAUUGGCUUAAAACCCNUAGCCGACCAAA